GAUGAACGCUAGCUACAGGCUUAACACAUGCAAGUCGAGGGGAAACGACAACGAAAGCUUGCUUUUGAUGGGCGUCGACCGGCGCACGGGUGAGUAACGCGUAUCCAACCUGCCCAUCACUUGGGAAUAACCUUGCGAAAGUAAGACUAAUGCCCAAUGAUAUCCCACGAAGGCAUCCGAAUGGGAUUAAAGAUUUACCGGUGAUGGAUGGGGAUGCGUCUGAUUAGCUUGUUGGCGGGGUAACGGCCCACCAAGGCGACGAUCAGUAGGGGUUCUGAGAGGAAGGUCCCCCACAUUGGAACUGAGACACGGUCCAAACUCCUACGGGAGGCAGCAGUGAGGAAUAUUGGUCAAUGGGCGAGAGCCUGAACCAGCCAAGUAGCGUGCAGGAUGACGGCCCUAUGGGUUGUAAACUGCUUUUAUAAGGGAAUAAAGUGAGUCUCGUGAGACUUUUUGCAUGUACCUUAUGAAUAAGGACCGGCUAAUUCCGUGCCAGCCGCCGCAGUAA
This 508-nucleotide ribosomal RNA is filed under the name uncultured bacterium. RNAcentral describes it as "partial 16S ribosomal RNA". It matches the Rfam family "Bacterial small subunit ribosomal RNA", at positions 28 to 523 of the family's 1533-position model. The record is from RNAcentral.